GUCGGGAUAGCUCAGUUGGAGAGC
Molecule: transfer RNA, 24 nt
Filed under: Borassodendron borneense
Lineage: Eukaryota; Viridiplantae; Streptophyta; Magnoliopsida; Arecales; Arecaceae
Also listed under: 2 other names
Description: partial transfer RNA-Phe
Source: RNAcentral